This 406-nucleotide ribosomal RNA is filed under the name uncultured bacterium. Its description in RNAcentral is "partial 16S ribosomal RNA". It matches the Rfam family "Bacterial small subunit ribosomal RNA", at positions 29 to 526 of the family's 1533-position model. The record is from RNAcentral.
AUUGAACGCUGGCGGCAGGCCUAACACAUGCAAGUCGAGCGAGCGGCGGACGGGCGAGUAAUGUCUGGGAAACUGCCCGAUGGAGGGGGAUAACUACUGGAAACGGUAGCUAAUACCGCAUACCAUCAGAUGUGCCCAGAUGGGCUUAGCUUGUAGGUGGGGUAACGGCCCACCUAGGCGACGAUCCCUAGCUGGUCUGAGAGGAGGACCAGCCAACCUGGAACUGAGACACGGUCCAGACCCCUACGUGAGGCAGCAGUGGGGAAUAUUGCACAAUUGGCGCAAGCCUGAUGCAGCCAAGCCGCGUGUGUGAAGAAGGCCUUCGGGUUGUAAAGCACUUUCGGCGGGGAGGCGUUACCCGCAGAAGAAGCACCGGCUAACUCCGUGCCAGCAGCCGCGGUAAUAC